RNAcentral lists this ribosomal RNA (265 nucleotides) under uncultured bacterium. RNAcentral describes it as "partial 16S ribosomal RNA". It matches the Rfam family "Bacterial small subunit ribosomal RNA", at positions 57 to 305 of the family's 1533-position model. The record is from RNAcentral.
GCAAGUCGAACGGGAAACAUUUUAUUGAAGCUUAGGCAGAUUUAGCUUGUUUCUAGUGGCGGACGGGUGAGUAUCGCGUGGGUAACCUGCCUUAUACUAGGGGAUAACAGCCAGAAAUGACUGCUAAUACCGCAUAAGCGCAAAGAACCGCAUGGUUCGGUGUGAAAAACUCCGGUGGUAUAAGAUGGACCCGCGUUGGAUUAGCUAGUUGGCAGGGCAGCGGCCUACCAAGGCGACGAUCCAUAGCCGGCCUGAGAGGGUGAUC